GGCAUGUCUGUGGGACACUCUAGGAAGGCUCAGCAGGUGACCUGCAGCCAGGAGAGAUGCCAGCUGGACAAGAAGCUUCAGAGUCACGCUGGCAGAGAACCCGUGGUGCCGAGUCCUCCAACACCGUACGAAGGACCGAGGGCAUCUGAGAGAAGAGUGACCCCCAGGCUCAGGGCAGAGAGUCAGCAGACGCAAGGUGUUGGUGCAGGCUGGCCUGGGCCCCGGAGCACGUAAGGCCUCACAGGGCUGCUGGUGGGCAGGGCGACAGAGCCCACUCAUCCUGAAAGGGAAGAAGGGCCACAGGCAGACAGAGCUAAGGGCAGGGCAGGGCACCUGGUUCCCCGGGUCUGUGGGUUUUAGUGGACAGCUGAUGGUAAAACAGACAUGAAGAGCUGAAGGUGUCGGAGCAGAGAGCAGCAAGGUUGGUGGCAGCUCAGCAAGCCCUGCCCCAGUAGGACAGGAGGCAGCUCGGGACACCGCCAUUUUUGUAGGAGGCUCAGAUCACAGGCAUCAAAGUGAACUUCACCUGCAAACCCACCACACUGUCCGGGCCCUCCCCACUCCCUCCAGCCUUUCCUACAGGGAACAGUAGGCAUAACACUGGGUCCCCUGGUCAUUAAGGGCCACUGUGGAUGGACUGCACCCUGCUGGCUGUUCUGUGGACUGCCCAAGAUGCACCAGGCCCCCAAAGGCCACAGAGAAGGGGAACUCUCCUCAGGUAAACAAAGAUAUUCAAUUAAAAUUAAAAAAUCCUGGGCCUCCCACUCGGACACUGGGCUGAGGAGUAAAAUUGC
Molecule: long non-coding RNA, 794 nt
Filed under: Marmota monax (woodchuck)
Lineage: Eukaryota; Metazoa; Chordata; Mammalia; Rodentia; Sciuridae
Source: RNAcentral